GGAGGGAUCAUUACUUAGGCUUAAAGAUCGGGUGCACUCCACCCGGUUCCACCGUGUAAAGUUAAAGUUCAUCGCUCUUCUUAGAGCGUAAGCACUGCCUUAAAGAUCUCGGGUGCCUUAAAAGUUGCACCCUGUUGGACGGCGUAAAUAAGAGGGGAGUCAGUUAGUCGUAGGCUCCCCCGAUUUUAAAGCGUAAAUAAUGAUCCUUAACGAUGGAUGUCUUGGGUUUGAGAUCGUUGAAGAGCGCAGCAAAGCGCGAUAUUCGAUGUGAUUUGCAGAACAUGUGAUGCAUUAGACUCUUGAACGCAUGUGCACUGCGGGUGCUCUGCACCCACAGUAUGUCUGGCUGAGUGCUAACAACAACUCACCUCAUCCAACUCGUGGCCUCAAUCGCGAAGUCCGAGUUUACGAUGUGUUAACGGUGUAAGACUCCGUUGAAGGACGUGAAGGAGAGCCUGUUAUGGUUGGUUUGCCGUGUAGGACUUCGUAGUUGGAUCAUCGUAUAAAAUAACAGCCUCCAAAAACAGCCUGGUCCCCAGGGGGGGAGAGGCAGCCUUUUUCACAACCUUAGCCUCAGCUCAGAUAGGACCAUCCGCUAGACUUAAGCAUAUUAUUCAGCGGAAGAAAAGAAAACAACCGUGAUUUUCUCAGUAACUGCGAGUGAAGAGGAAUCAGACCAGGGUGAAUCGAAGAGGGUAAAGCUCCCUUCUCGAGUUGUGCCCUUUAGAUCGGUGUCAGUGCUCGAUUCUCCCCCAAGUUGACUGGAAAGUCACACCGAAGAAGGUGAUAGUCCUGUACGGAGAGAGUUAGGUAUCGAGUGUUAACAGCCGAAUCAACGAGUCGCACUGUCUGGGAGUAUAGUGCAAAUAGGCAGGUAAAUCCCUGCUAAGUCUAAAUAUGGCUCAAACACCGAUAGCGAACAAGUACCACGAGGGAAAGAUGCAAAGAACUCUGAAAAGAGAGUCAAAAGUACCUGAAAUCGUUAGGGAGGAACCGGUAGCAAAACAGCCUGUGUGAGGGGGUCGAAUCACUGCGUUGCUUGUGAGUCUAGGCUGUCUGUGUGCGUUCACGGAUGUACACGAGGAGGCUGAACCGAGUAAGUAGCGUGGGCACUUUGGCCCAGCUCCGUCCACGAUCCCUGCGUGUCGAGAUUGCUGAGUUAGAGCGACGUUGCAGCGAUGCAGGUUCAAGUCUGGCUCAAGCAACUCGGUGUUCUGGGAGGAUCGUAAAGGGUAGCCCUGCGUAGCGUGUGCGUGCUGGCGUGUGGUGGCUGGCGAUCAUCCUAGAUGAUCGUUAGUCAUCGUGUGUGUGUGUGCGUGCUGCUGCUUGCCUUUGUUGAUCGUGGGUAGGAUUGUUACCGACCCGUCUUGAAACACGGACCAAGGAGUCUAACCUGUGCACGAGUUUAAGGGUGUCAAACUCGUAAGCGUAGAGAAAUCGAGAGUAGUGAGACGCUGUUGCCCACGGGCGAUGGCUGCAUCACAGGCCCAUCCCGAGGUAAGUCCGAGGGUUUGGAGUCGGAGUGCACAUGUUAGGACCCGAAAGAUUGCGAACUAUGCUUGCAUAGAGUGAAGCCAGGCGAAAGUCUGGUGGAGGCUCGUAGUCGUACUGACGUGAAAAUCGUUGAUCAAAUGUGAGUAUAGCGGCGAAAGACCAAUCGAGCAGUCUAGUAGCUGGUUCCUGC
RNAcentral lists this unclassified non-coding RNA (1684 nucleotides) under uncultured fungus. RNAcentral's name for it is "sequence contains 18S rRNA gene, ITS1, 5.8S rRNA gene, ITS2, 28S rRNA gene". The stretch from base 569 to 1684 matches the Rfam family "Eukaryotic large subunit ribosomal RNA", at positions 1 to 961 of the family's 3401-position model. The record is from RNAcentral. Lineage: Eukaryota; Fungi.